RNAcentral lists this ribosomal RNA (403 nucleotides) under uncultured bacterium. RNAcentral describes it as "bacterial SSU rRNA". It matches the Rfam family "Bacterial small subunit ribosomal RNA", at positions 28 to 409 of the family's 1533-position model. The record is from RNAcentral.
GACGAACGCUGGCGGCGUGCCUAACACAUGCAAGUCGAACGAGGUCCAUGCAGUGGCAACACUGCGGAAGACCUAGUGGCGCACGGGUGAGUAACACGUAGGUGACCUACCUCGUAGUUGGGGAUAACAGCGGGAAACCACUGCUAAUACCGAAUGUGUUGUGUGACAUUAGAAAAGCACAACAAAGAAUGCCUCUACUUGUAAGCAUUCGCUAUGAGAUGGGCCUGCGCGGCAUUGGCUAGUUGGUGGGGUAAUGGCCUACCAAGGCAACGAUGCCUAGCUGGUCUGAGAGGAUGAUCAGCCACACUGGAACUGAGACACGGUCCAGACUCCUACGGAGGCAGCAGUAGGGAAGUAUCGCGCAAUGGGGGAAACCCUGACGCAGCAACGCCACGUGAGUGAG